This is a long non-coding RNA of Triticum urartu, 525 nucleotides long. RefSeq lists it as uncharacterized. Lineage: Eukaryota; Viridiplantae; Streptophyta; Magnoliopsida; Poales; Poaceae. The record is from RefSeq and is a predicted model, not a curated record.
UUUUUACACCAGGGGUGGAGUGAUGUUUUGGGCCGACUCUCUCAGCGCGGAAUACGUGUACCGCAGACUGGACGGGUGGUCCAAAGAUUAUGGAGAGUUCUUCAAACCCUGUGAAUAUCUAGCUGCCAGAGCUAGUCACGGCGCAUCCUUGGCUGCCACCACAGCUGAUGGCACCAAGUCGCGACUCUAGAUGGUUUACCUGGGUGUUUUGCCAUGUCCAGUCGGGAUGGAGGAGCUGGAAUGUUCCGGAUACGAUCGUGUAUUAGAUGUAAUAAAGUGCACGGCAAAAAUGCUAGGUUGGUUUUGAGUGUUGGUGGGUGCGGCUGUUUUUCUUCUGCAACUGCUGCUGUGUGAUGUGUUACCAUGGUCUUACCCACGGCCCAGUAGUUUUGUGCAUUGUGGAUUCCCCUGGCGUACUGUUGCGACAUGUCCGCGAAACCUCUGUAUGUUUUUACAGGGCCAGGGAUAGUACAUGCGAUCCUUGUCAAUUGUGGAAAUAAAAUGCCAACCUUGUGUCUUUUCUUC